RNAcentral lists this ribosomal RNA (441 nucleotides) under uncultured bacterium. RNAcentral describes it as "partial 16S ribosomal RNA". It matches the Rfam family "Bacterial small subunit ribosomal RNA", at positions 338 to 795 of the family's 1533-position model. The record is from RNAcentral.
CCUACGGGUGGCAGCAGUGGGGGAUAUUGCACAAUGGGGGAAACCCUGAUGCAGCGACGCCGCGUGGGUGAAGAAGUAUUUCGGUAUGUAAAGCCCUAUCAGCAGGGAAGAAAGAAGACGGUACCUGACUAAGAUGCCCCGGCUAACUACGGGCCGGCACCAGCGGCAAUACGGAGGGGGCGAGCGUUAUCCGGAUGCACUGGGUGUAAAGGGAGCGUAGACGGCCGUGCAAGCCAGGAGUGAAAGCCCGGGGCCCAACCGCGGAAGUGCGCUUGCAACUGUGAGGCUAGAGUGCGGGAGGGGCAGGCGGAAUGCGUGGUGUAGGGGUGAAAUGCGUAGAUAUCAGGAGGAACACCGGCGGCGAAGGCGGCCUGCUGGAACGCGACUGACGUUGAGGCGCGAAAGCGUGGGGAGCGAACAGGAUUAGAUACCCGUGUAGUC